RNAcentral lists this unclassified non-coding RNA (2297 nucleotides) under Hevea brasiliensis (rubber tree). The record is from RNAcentral. Lineage: Eukaryota; Viridiplantae; Streptophyta; Magnoliopsida; Malpighiales; Euphorbiaceae.
UGGAAAAUAUAAUAAUAAUAUUGAUAAUAAUAAUAAUAAACAGAAUGCAACACAAACAAUCUUUCCCUCAAAAUCAGAAAAAAUUCUUCCAAAUCGAACAAUGCUUGUUUCUUUAUCCAGGUGACAAAAUCUUGGACACUGAAAUGUUUCUAAAUGUUUAAUGAAAUUGCAAGAAUUGGAAUUCGCACGCUACGAGUAUCAUCAGACCACACAAGUGAAGUUCUUGAGCAUUGUCCAUCUGGUAUGCCUUGUCCUUCAACAGUUACCGACAAAAGAUUUCUUCUCAUUUAAGAACUCGAAGGAAAGAACUUCGGGUUGCACUUGGAUUGUUAAAUAAUCAUUUGGUUUCAUUUUUGUCUUGUAAGUGGAGUUUGCCAUGCCAACAUUUGUUACUGUUCUAUGGAACUUGAAGAUAAAGGCUACCAUUGGUGUCACACGAAUGGUAAUUGCAGGAUAAUUGAAAUCUAAAGGCAGGAAUCUAUCAACCCCAGUAGGGCAAGUAAUGCUUUCUCCUGUGAUAGUUUCGAGUUGACCCGAUUUAAUACCUGAUCCACAUAACAAUUUGAUAUAAUCUUCCUUAUCAGCAUCAUAUACAAGUCCAGGAUCAGCUGCUUUUACUGGAUUGAUAUGUCCAGAUCCAUAUGAACAUACAGAUUUAGCUGUUCUAUUAUUCAUAGGCCAAGCAGUGGUCAUAAUAGCAGAUUUGAUGGCUGAAGACAAGUCAGGGUGAAUUGAUUUAACAUAGGAAGCUACACCAGCAGCAUGGGGGCAGGACAUGGAGGUACCUGAUAAAAUGCUGUAUUGAACUUGCCUCUUGUCUAGAGGUCCAUUUGAAGGUGAAGCAAUAGGUGAAGAUGCAGCCAAGAUAUCGAUACCUGGCGCAAAACAUCCAGUUUCAUGAUCUCCGGGAGAAGUGGAUUUGGAAGGAAGCAACAACAGGAGCAGUAAAAUCUCGGAUGCCUCUACUUUCGAGUAUGUUCACUGUAGGAUUUCUGCAAGAUUGGAGAGAUGUCAAAGUCAUUCCAAGCUAAAGGGAAAAAGCAGAAUUUAUCAACAAAAUGAGAGCUUAUAGAAAUCCAAACUUUGCGAAAUUCACAGGGUCCUCCAACAUCAACAUGUCCAAGAUUGUAAUGGCUGAUGCAGGUAUGGGGACAAUAAAUGAAACAUCAUCUAGUAGGGUAUUUUGCGCAACUGCACCCAAAGCACACGCUUUAUAAGCUUCAGCAACUCCACCAAACUGACUACAUAGCACUAUCUUUCCCUUCACCAAGUUUUCAUCUAUACAACCUUCAACACAUGACCUGAAAUGCAGCAACAAGUUAAUCCUCUUUCCAUGGUUCAUUAUUGCACGAAAAAAAAUGUUAUGUUUGAGACAGUAAGGCCAAUGAAGCUACUGGGAGUCAUUUAAGGAGCAUUGAUGCGAAACAUCUUUUCCAUAUGCCAGUGGAAACAUUGUUCCAUUCAAUGUGAAAGAGUUGACAGAAUUCCCCUGUCACGGUAUAAUAACUAGCUCCAACAAUUUUGUUAUUGCAAGUAAAAUUUCCGCCUCCUUCACAAGCACCCUUCCACUUCUUUGGAGCAGGGCCAAAACCUUCAUCAUUAAAACUCUCUGAUUCAGGCCAGAUUCCAGUGUCAAUAACACCAACUAUAACAUCGCUCUCAGCGGUUUUUUUCCUUCUUACUGUUUCAUGGAAACCCACGACAUCCCAUGAUCUUGUAGUGUGAAGUUUGAGAGUUGUGCUAGGGAAAAUAGACACUACUCCUUCCAUUCUAGCCAACUUCUGCACCUCACUAGCUGUAAGUUUGGCAGCAAAUCCAUUAAAACUUCUUUUGUAGCUCCUACUCAAGGAGUUUUCUACAGAACUGCUCUCAACAACUUCUUGUAGCAUAUUAAAGUCGUGGGAUGAUGGUGAGUAUUCUCCCUUCGGAAGUGAGCCCAUAUGUAUAAUGUGGACCUGCAUGAAAAUUCUCAACAUUAUCAUUCACACUUGUUAAAUCACCAUUUUCAGUGUCUUAAUGCGUGCAUGUUGGAGAAAAAUAAAAUGCCAGACUAAUAAAAACAGUACUUGCCUUUCUGUUUUCAUCGGUGGCACUGAAAGAUAUACUUGCAGUGAGCAUGAAAAAAAACAAAUUGCAAGAAGACAGGAGAGAUGCAUAUUUAAACAUUUUCAAUUUCUCAAAUAACUAGAUAUGAGUGGUGACUGUUUUAUAGUAGGAAUAAGAUUAAGGAGAAUGAGCCUUAUCUCAGAAAAUCAUGUCGUUUCCUUUGGACAGCAGAAUAGCUAUUGGCUACUAUA